GAUGAACGCUGGCGGCGUGCCUAAUACAUGCAAGUCGAGCGAACAGACGAGGAGCUUGCUCCUCUGACGUUAGCGGCGGACGGGUGAGUAACACGUGGAUAACCUACCUAUAAGACUGGGAUAACUUCGGGAAACCGGAGCUAAUACCGGCUCAUAUAUUGAACCGCAUGGUUCAAUAGUGAAAGACGGUUUUGCUGUCACUUAUAGAUGGAUCCGGGCCGGAUUAGCUAGUUGGUAAGGUAACGGCUUACCAAGGCAACGAUGCGUAGCCGACCUGAGAGGGUGAUCGGCCACACUGGAACUGAGACACGGUCCAGACUCCUACGGGAGGCAGCAGUAGGGAAUCUUCCGCAAUGGGCGAAAGCCUGACGGAGCAACGCCGCGUGAGUGAUGAAGGUCUUCGGAUCGUAAAACUCUGUUAUUAGGGAAGAACAAAUGUGUAAGAAACUAUGCACGUCUUGACGGUACCUAAUCAGAAAGCCACGGCUAACUACGUG
Molecule: ribosomal RNA, 497 nt
Filed under: uncultured bacterium
Lineage: Bacteria
Description: partial 16S ribosomal RNA
Rfam family: Bacterial small subunit ribosomal RNA
Source: RNAcentral